GCAAGUUGCUUUGGCAGAUAUCAUUCUCAUUAUAAAACAGACUUGGUUCCAGAAGAAGAUGUAAAGAAAUUAAGAACGACAAUUAGAUCCAUAAAUGGACUAGGACAAAUCUUAGAAACACAAAGAUCAAGAACAAUAAACAUGCAGUGAUUGAUUUUUCUUACUUCACUCAAGUGGAUGAGUGAGCAAGUGACUAAAAUCUUCUGUGAGUUCUUCAGUAGUUGAUCUCUCUAAUGUAUUAGAUCUUCAUGCCUUUGAUAGUCU
RNAcentral lists this small RNA (264 nucleotides) under Pan troglodytes (chimpanzee). RNAcentral describes it as "processed transcript". The record is from RNAcentral. Lineage: Eukaryota; Metazoa; Chordata; Mammalia; Primates; Hominidae.